AAUCAACGCUGGCGGCGUGCCUCAGACAUGCAAGUCGAACGCGAAAGUUUCCUUCGGGAGACCGGUAGAGUGGCGCACGGGUGAGUAACACGUGGGUAAUUUACCUUUGGGUGGGGAAUAACAGUCGGAAACGACUGCUAAUACCGCAUAAUGCAGCGGCAGCUCAUGCUGACAGUUGUUAAAAGCGGGGGAUCUGCAAAGACCUCGCGCCUAAAGAGAAGCCCGCGGCGGAUUAGCUAGUUGGUGAGGUAAUGGCUCACCAAGGCGUCGAUCCGUAGCCGGCCUGAGAGGGCGGUCGGCCACACUGACACUGAAUAACGGGUCAGACUCCUACGGGAGGCAGC
Molecule: ribosomal RNA, 344 nt
Filed under: uncultured bacterium
Lineage: Bacteria
Description: bacterial SSU rRNA
Rfam family: Bacterial small subunit ribosomal RNA
Source: RNAcentral